This 376-nucleotide ribosomal RNA is filed under the name uncultured organism. RNAcentral's name for it is "partial 16S ribosomal RNA". It matches the Rfam family "Bacterial small subunit ribosomal RNA", at positions 523 to 896 of the family's 1533-position model. The record is from RNAcentral.
CGGGGGGGGGGGCAAGCGUUGUUCGGAAUUACUGGGCGUAAAGGGCGCGUAGGCUGUCCCGCAAGUCCUCCGUGAAAUCCCACAGCUCAACUGUGGAAUUGCGAGGGAAACUGCAGGACUUGAGUUCGGGAGAGGAGAGUGGAAUUCCCAGUGUAGCGGUGAAAUGCGUAGAUAUUGGGAGGAACACCGGUGGCGAAGGCGGCUCUCUGGACCGACACUGACGCUGAGGCGCGAAAGCUAGGGGAGCAAACGGGAUUAGAUACCCCGGUAGUCCUAGCCCUAAACGAUGAGCACUUGGUGUGGCGGGUAUCGACCCCUGCCGUGCCGAAGCUAACGCAUUAAGUGCUCCGCCUGGGGAGUACGGUCGCAAAGGCUG